UGGUGGAGCGAUUUGUCUGGUUAAUUCCGAUAACGAACGAGACUCUAGCCUACUAAAUAGUUCACCGGUGCACGAAGGCCGGUGCCCGAAGGCCGGUGCCAACUUCUUAGAGGGACAAGUGGCGCUUAGCCACACGAGAUUGAGCAAUAACA
This 152-nucleotide ribosomal RNA is filed under the name uncultured eukaryote. RNAcentral's name for it is "partial 18S ribosomal RNA". It matches the Rfam family "Eukaryotic small subunit ribosomal RNA", at positions 1299 to 1458 of the family's 1831-position model. The record is from RNAcentral.